GACGACCUAACUCAGUGGAAGAGCACAGGGCUAUGCCGUGAGGAUGCUGGUUUAAACCCAACCGUCGCCA
Non-coding RNA from Phytophthora infestans T30-4, 70 nucleotides. NCBI's taxonomy places the organism in Eukaryota, Oomycota, Peronosporomycetes, Peronosporales, Peronosporaceae. The record is from the annotation of a RefSeq genome assembly.